Long non-coding RNA from Pseudopipra pipra, 1148 nucleotides. RefSeq lists it as uncharacterized. The transcript has 6 exons. Lineage: Eukaryota; Metazoa; Chordata; Aves; Passeriformes; Pipridae. The record is from RefSeq and is a predicted model, not a curated record.
AGUAAUAACUACUUUCUGAAAAACAGAUUUAAUAAUGCUGUAUUUAUCUGUAGACAAGAUGGUGGUUAAGCUGUUAAUGAAAUGCAGAUGGUCCUGUUUUAAAGUACAAAUGCUUCUUUACUCGAUAUGCUAAGCUUUAGGGGAGUUUUAAUAUAAUCUCUAAAGGUUGAAAAUGAUAUAGUAUUUGUAAAAUGAGUGAAUUGUGAAAGGAACGUUGAUUGUUUAUGUGUCGUUGAAGAAUUUACUAGGAAAAUUAGUCAAAGGCCUCUCGGGGGACUUAGCAUUUUGCUACAGAUAAGGUAAAAUAUUCAGUGUUAUGUUAUGGCUUCUGCAAGCAUUGAUUAAACUCCCCAGUGUUCAUGAAGGCUGACAGGGAUUCAAAGGAGGAAAUGUAAAACUUGAAGUUCCUGAACCAUCAUCCUACUACAGCUACACUAGAAGACUGCAAAUAAUGCAACAACCUUUUUCUGCAUUAAGGUGUGAGGAUGGACAGUGGAGAAUAUUAUAGAAAAGGGUCUUUCUCCUGUCUAAGUGUCAUAAUGCUCUCCCUAGAUCCCUGGAAAAACAAGCAGGUCUAGUGAAUGCCCGAGGUUUUCGUGAAGAUCAGAAGCAGGACAGGAUCUGACCCAGUGUGGCCAUUCAUGACAAUGCUAUCCACAGGAAAAAACCUUCAUCUUUGACUGCUUAGUCUGCAAACCUCUUCGAAGAAAAACACUUUCACAAAUCCAUGAGAACAAGACCAGGAAUUCCAGCUUUGAAUUCUGCUGUAAUGAGUGCUUGUGAAAAACGGAACACACCAAAAGAAGGACUCAGGGCAAAUGCAGUCAAACUCAAGGAUUGCAGCAUACACCUGGCACACCAGAAGCUGGAAAGUGACUGUUUGAACCUCAUUCUCAAAUAAAUGAGAGAAAGAGCACUCAACUGUCUAUUCAAGGAAAUCUGAAUGGUGUGUUCUCAAUGGUUUUUCCUUAGAGUCUCUUCAUGAAGAUUAUAAAGAUGUAUUGUGGUGAAGAACGGAAAAUUUUAAAUAUUUUGGUUGGAAAUUCCAGCUCUUUUCGGUCUGUCCAAAGGGGUAUCUUCAUGUUCUGAUGCACUAAUAGUACCAUCUCAAACUUUAGAAAAAAAUAAAUAAAAAAAUCACACUCUGA